This 404-nucleotide ribosomal RNA is filed under the name Actinomycetes bacterium. RNAcentral describes it as "Actinobacteria bacterium partial 16S ribosomal RNA". It matches the Rfam family "Bacterial small subunit ribosomal RNA", at positions 355 to 776 of the family's 1533-position model. Lineage: Bacteria; Bacillati; Actinomycetota; Actinomycetes. The record is from RNAcentral.
UGGGGAAUAUUGGACAAUGGGCGCAAGCCUGAUCCAGCCAUGCCGCGUGAGUGAUGAAGGCCCUAGGGUUUUAAAGCUCUUUCACCGGUGAAGAUAAUGACGGUAACCGGAGAAGAAGCCCCGGCUAACUUCGUGCCAGCAGCCGCGGUAAUACGAAGGGGGCUAGCGUUGUUCGGAUUUACUGGGCGUAAAGCGCACGUAGGCGGACUUUUAAGUCAGGGGUGAAAUCCCGGGGCUCAACCCCGGAACUGCCUUUGAUACAGGAAGUCUUGAGUAUGGUAGAGGUGAGUGGAAUUCCGGGGGUAGAGGUGAAAGUCGUAGAUAUUCGGAGGAACACCAGUGGCGAAGGCGGCUCACUGGACCAUUACUGACGCUGAGGUGCGAAGGCGUGGGGAGCAAACAGG